GACGAACGCUGGCGGCGUGCCUAAUACAUGCAAGUUGAGCGCUGAAGGUUGGUACUUGUACCAACUGGAUGAGCAGCGAACGGGUGAGUAACGCGUGGGGAAUCUGCCUUUGAGCGGGGGACAACAUUUGGAAACGAAUGCUAAUACCGCAUAAAAACUUUAAACACAAGUUUUAAGUUUGAAAGAUGCAAUUGCAUCACUCAAAGAUGAUCCCGCGUUGUAUUAGCUAGUUGGUGAGGUAAAGGCUCACCAAGGCGAUGAUACAUAGCCGACCUGAGAGGGUGAUCGGCCACAUUGGGACUGAGACACGGCCCAAACUCCUACGGGAGGCAGCAGGAGGGAAACUUCGGCAAUGGGCGAAAGUCUGACCGAGCAACGCCGCGGGAGUGAAGAAGGUUUUCGGAUCGUAAAACUCGGUUGGUAGGGAAGAACGUUGGUGAGAGUGGAAAGCUCAUCAAGUGACGGUAACUACCCAGAAAGGGACGGCUAACUACGUG
Molecule: ribosomal RNA, 497 nt
Filed under: uncultured bacterium
Lineage: Bacteria
Description: partial 16S ribosomal RNA
Rfam family: Bacterial small subunit ribosomal RNA
Source: RNAcentral